AAUGUAUUACUUUUAUUUAUUUUUUGAGUAGGAGUCUCACUCUGUCACCCAGGCUAGAGGGCAGUGGCACACU
This 73-nucleotide small nucleolar RNA is filed under the name Carlito syrichta (Philippine tarsier). Its description in RNAcentral is "Small nucleolar RNA Me28S-Am2634 (ENSTSYG00000024870.2)". Lineage: Eukaryota; Metazoa; Chordata; Mammalia; Primates; Tarsiidae. The record is from RNAcentral.